AAACAGGCCUUCCCCAACUCUAUUACACGCCUUUCAUUGAGCAGGCUUCCUCCACAAAAUUAAACUCGCCCAAAUUGCAAACUUUCAGGGAGGAAAAUGAACCAUAAUCGAAACUGAAACCCUAAAUCUAAACCCUGAGCUCGAAAUCAAGGUCCUUCACGCCGUUGCUAAUUACUCAAACAGCCUACGCAAGCAUGAAGAAGCAGCUCCCAUUCCGUUUCUGUAGUUCUCGCAAUGGACGGACAACGUGAAGGUAAAUCUCAAGCUUAUGGGUUUUAAAAAUUUGACACUUAUGGGUUUUAAAAUUUUGGGCUUUGUAGUUGCUAUUCAUCUGAUACUUUUGGUUUUUGCAGCUGCUAAUUUAGGUUUUGCAGUUGCUAUUCCCGUAUCUGAAGAUUUUGAAGUUGCUAUUCAUGACAUUUUGGGUUUUACAAAUCUAAAAAAUAUUUAUUUACAUGGUUUCUUUUGGAAAUUGUCAUUGUACUCUUCCUCCCAACACUUGGAUUAAUUAGCAGAAUCCUGUGUCUCAUUUGAAUGACCUUUGUAACAUGAUUUAAUUUUUCAAUGGAUUUAGUUUGAUUCUGCUUGAGUUCUCGACUUGGAUACGAGGUUGAUCGGUUGAGUAGGGUUGAAUCAUUUGAUAGCUAAUUAAUCCCAACAUCUAUACUAUAGUAGCAAAUAUAUAUAUUUUAAAGUUUUGCCACAGUUUGUUGUUCUCCACUUGACGGUUUGCAUCUACUCUUGUUAAUGUGGGUUAAUUAUAUGACAGAUUGUGGAGUGAAUAGCCCAAAUGGUCACUAAACUUUGCACCAGGUCCGCAAAAGGUCACUGAACUUUCAAAAUUGUCUAACUCAUCACAGAACUUUGCGAAAAGUCCAUCAAAGGUCACUGAACUUUCAAAAUCGCCUCACUUAUCACUAAACUUUGCAUUUUGUAAUCUCAUUAGUCAUUCAGCUAACGGUCCAUCCAAAAACUAACCGAAUACUCACGUGGCCGGCUGAUGUGGAUGCCAAGUCAAACAAAAGAAGUAC
This 1031-nucleotide long non-coding RNA is filed under the name Olea europaea subsp. europaea. Lineage: Eukaryota; Viridiplantae; Streptophyta; Magnoliopsida; Lamiales; Oleaceae. The record is from RNAcentral.